GAAAUGCGAUAAGUAAUGUGAAUUGCAGAAUUCCGUGAAUCAUCGAAUCUUUGGACGCACAUUGCGCCCUCUGGCAUUCCGGGGGGCAUGCCUGUCCGAGCGUCAUUACGCACCCUCAAGCCCGGCUUGUGUGAUGGGCCCCGGCGUCUCGUUCGCGAGACGGGCCCGAAAGGCAGCGGCGGCGUCGACCCGAUGAGCCCGAGCGUAUGGGGACUUCUGUCACACGUUCGCGGUGCGGACCGGCGCCUGCUUGACUUUUCUGAUUAUCCAGGUUGACCUCGGAUCAGGUAGGGAUACCCGCUGAACUUAAGC
This 312-nucleotide unclassified non-coding RNA is filed under the name plant metagenome. RNAcentral's name for it is "partial contains 5.8S ribosomal RNA, internal transcribed spacer 2, and large subunit ribosomal RNA". The stretch from base 1 to 105 matches the Rfam family "5.8S ribosomal RNA", at positions 50 to 154 of the family's 154-position model. The record is from RNAcentral.